GAUGAACGCUGGCGGCGUGCCUAAUACAUGCAAGUCGAGCGAACAGACGAGGCGCUUGCUCCUCUGACGUUAGCGGCGCACGGGUGAGUAACACGUGUAUACCCUACCUAUAAGACUGGGAUCACUUCGGGAAACCGGAGCUAAUACCGGAUAAUAUAUUGAACCGCAUUGUUCAAUAGUGAAAGACGGUUUUGCUGUCUCUUAUAGCUGGAUCCGCGCCGCAUUAGAUAGUUGGUAGGGUAACGGCUUACCAAGGCAACGAUGCGUAGCCGACCGGAUAGGGGGAUAGGCCACAUGGGAGCUGAGACGCGGUCCAGACUACUACGGGAGGCAGCAGUAGGGAAUCUUCCGCAAUGGGCGAAAGCUUGACGGAGCAACGCCGCGUGAGUGAUGAAGGUCUUCGGAUCGUAAAACUCUGUUAUUGGGGAAGAACAAAUGUGUAAGUAACUAUGCACGUCUUGACGGUACCUAAUCAGAAAGCCACGGCUAACUACGUG
RNAcentral lists this ribosomal RNA (497 nucleotides) under uncultured bacterium. Its description in RNAcentral is "partial 16S ribosomal RNA". It matches the Rfam family "Bacterial small subunit ribosomal RNA", at positions 28 to 507 of the family's 1533-position model. The record is from RNAcentral.